This is a small nuclear RNA of Polypterus senegalus (gray bichir), 187 nucleotides long. RefSeq annotates it as U2 spliceosomal RNA. The transcript has a single exon. The record is from RefSeq and is a predicted model, not a curated record. NCBI's taxonomy places the organism in Eukaryota, Metazoa, Chordata, Cladistia, Polypteriformes, Polypteridae.
AUCGCUUCUCGGGCCUUUGGCUAGAUCAAUGUAGUAUCUGUUCUUAUCAGUUUAAUAUCUGAUACGUCCCCCAUCUGGGGGCCAUAUAUUAAAUUUAUUUUGGGAAAAGGAGAUGGAAUAGGGGGUUGUCCGUCCACUCCACGUGUCACCUGGGAUUGCAGUACUUCCAGGAGCUGGUGCACUUUCU